CCCAGAGCCCUUCUCUCGGCUCUCGCCUUCCGGCCUCCAUCCUCCAGAGACCGCGGCCGCCGCCGCCGCUCGCCCACCGCUGCACCGCCGCUUCCCUCCAAGAGUCCAAGGCUUCGGCCACCGCCGAAUUGAACCACCGCCACCCAGAUCCACCGCCCUCCGGUCCUGCACAGCCGCCCGCGACGAGACGAGCCACCGGCGCCAUCUUCUCUGUAUGUAGCUUUCUGCACCAAAGGAAGCAGCAGUUAAGUUUCAUGGAUCCUGUAAAAGCGUCACCAGUCACAAGGAUACAAUUUUCUGUUGGGUUGUUUUGGGGGCCAGUCUGAUUGUAGUGCAGUUGUGUAAUGGAAAUAAUUUUUUUUCACGAUAUACCACUUUGCAGAUUGAAGAGUUGUAGUUCUAAGAAUUCUUGUAUUUUCAUAAGAAGCAUUGUCAUUUGAAUUAUCUAUGUGGAUUGUAUUGGUUGAGAUAAA
Molecule: non-coding RNA, 473 nt
Organism: Oryza sativa Japonica Group (Japanese rice)
Lineage: Eukaryota; Viridiplantae; Streptophyta; Magnoliopsida; Poales; Poaceae
Source: RefSeq, a predicted model, not a curated record